AACGAACGCUGGCGGCAUGCCUAACACAUGCAAGUCGAACGAGACCUUCGGGUCUAGUGGCGCACGGGUGCGUAACGCGUGGGAACCUGCCCUUAGGUUCGGAAUAACUCCCCGAAAGGGGUGCUAAUACCGGAUAAUGUCUUCGGACCAAAGAUUUAUCGCCUUUGGAUGGGCCCGCGUUGGAUUAGCUAGUUGGUAGGGUAAAAGCCUACCAAGGCGACGAUCCAUAGCUGGUCUGAGAGGAUGAUCAGCCACACUGGGACUGAGACACGGCCCAGACUCCUACGGGAGGCAGCAGUGGGGAAUAUUGGACAGUGGGCGAAAGCAUGAUCCAGCAAUGCCGCGUGAGUGAUGAAGGCCUUAGGGUUGUAAAGCUCUUUUACCCGUGAUGAUAAUGACAGUACCGGGAGAAUAAGCCCCGGCUAACUCCGUG
Molecule: ribosomal RNA, 433 nt
Filed under: uncultured bacterium
Lineage: Bacteria
Description: partial 16S ribosomal RNA
Rfam family: Bacterial small subunit ribosomal RNA
Source: RNAcentral